UACAGAGGUCUCAAGCGUUGUUCGGAUUCAUUGGGCGUAAAGGGUGCGUAGGCGGCGGGGUAAGUCGGAUGUGAAAUCCCAGGGCUCAACCCUGGAACUGCAUUCGAUACUGCCUUGCUCGAGUACUGGAGAGGAGACUGGAAUUUACGGUGUAGCAGUGAAAUGCGUAGAGAUCGUAAGGAAGACCAGUGGCGAAGGCGGGUCUCUGGACAGUUCCUGACGCUGAGGCACGAAGGUCAGGGGAGCAAACGGG
RNAcentral lists this ribosomal RNA (253 nucleotides) under uncultured bacterium. RNAcentral's name for it is "partial 16S ribosomal RNA". It matches the Rfam family "Bacterial small subunit ribosomal RNA", at positions 524 to 776 of the family's 1533-position model. The record is from RNAcentral.